Felis catus (domestic cat) is the source of this 85-nucleotide transfer RNA. It matches the Rfam family "tRNA". From Rfam's summary of the family: Transfer RNA (tRNA) molecules are approximately 80 nucleotides in length. The record is from Rfam. NCBI's taxonomy places the organism in Eukaryota, Metazoa, Chordata, Mammalia, Carnivora, Felidae.
GCCUGGGUGGCUUAGUCGGUUGAGCGUCUGACUUUGGCUCAGGUCAUGAUCUCACGGUUCGUGGGUUCAAGCCCCAUGUCGGGCU